CUGACAGCCCUUGAGACAAAAUCCUCUCUAUCCCCACAACAGGUACAGCACAGGCGGCAGCAGCAGUGCAAGCUCCAAUUCCACAGUAUUCCUCAUUAAUGUAUGUAACCUAGCCCUGACGGGACCUACUCUGGGGUGAGAAGGGAAUUCAGUCACCAUGGCUCAUUCAUUCCUUGGCCUCU
Molecule: unclassified non-coding RNA, 182 nt
Organism: Chrysemys picta bellii (western painted turtle)
Lineage: Eukaryota; Metazoa; Chordata; Testudines; Emydidae
Source: Ensembl